RNAcentral lists this non-coding RNA (31 nucleotides) under Homo sapiens (human). The record is from RNAcentral. Lineage: Eukaryota; Metazoa; Chordata; Mammalia; Primates; Hominidae.
UUGAAUGGAGCCUGGACCACCGUUUCCUUGC